This 492-nucleotide ribosomal RNA is filed under the name uncultured bacterium. RNAcentral describes it as "partial 16S ribosomal RNA". It matches the Rfam family "Bacterial small subunit ribosomal RNA", at positions 29 to 507 of the family's 1533-position model. The record is from RNAcentral.
AGUGAACGCUGGCGGUAGGCCUAACACAUGCAAGUCGAACGGCAGCACAGUAAGAGCUUGCUCUUACGGGUGGCGAGUGGCGGACGGGUGAGGAAUACAUCGGAAUCUACUUUUUCGUGGGGGAUAACGUAGGGAAACUUACGCUAAUACCGCAUACGACCUACGGGUGAAAGCAGGGGAUCUUCGGGCCUUGCGCGGUUGAAUGAGCCGAUGUCGGAUUAGCUAGUUGGCGGGGUAAAGGCCCACCAAGGCGACGAUCCGUAGCUGGUCUGAGAGGAUGAUCAGCCACACUGGAACUGAGACACGGUCCAGACUCCUACGGGAGGCAGCAGUGGGGAAUAUUGGACAAUGGGCGCAAGCCUGAUCCAGCCAUACCGCGUGGGUGAAGAAGGCCUUCGGGUUGUAAAGCCCUUUUGUUGGGAAAGAAAAGCAGCAGGUUAAUACCCCGCUGUUCUGACGGUACCCAAAGAAUAAGCACCGGCUAACUUCGUG